GAGUUUGAUCAUGGCUCAGAUUGAACGCUGGCGGCAGGCCUAACACAUGCAAGUCGAGCGGUAACAUUUCUAGCUUGCUAGAAGAUGACGAGCGGCGGACGGGUGAGUAAUGCUUGGGAAUAUGCCUUAGGGUGGGGGACAACAGUUGGAAACGACUGCUAAUACCGCAUGAUGUNUACGGACCAAAGGGGGCUUCGGCUCUCGCCCUUAGAUUAGCCCAAGUGGGAUUAGCUAGUUGGUGAGGUAAAGGCUCACCAAGGCGACGAUCCCUAGCUGGUUUGAGAGGAUGAUCAGCCACACUGGAACUGAGACACGGUCCAGACUCCUACGGGAGGCAGCAGUGGGGAAUAUUGCACAAUGGGGGAAACCCUGAUGCAGCCAUGCCGCGUGUGUGAAGAAGGCCUUCGGGUUGUAAAGCACUUUCAGUAAGGAGGAAAGGUUAGUAGUUAAUACCUGCUAGCUGUGACGUUACUUACAGAAGAAGCACCGGCUAAUCCGAGCUCAGCAACAGAAGAAGCACCGGCUAACUCC
This 531-nucleotide ribosomal RNA is filed under the name Pseudoalteromonas sp. SKA20. RNAcentral describes it as "bacterial SSU rRNA". It matches the Rfam family "Bacterial small subunit ribosomal RNA", at positions 9 to 535 of the family's 1533-position model. The record is from RNAcentral. Lineage: Bacteria; Pseudomonadati; Pseudomonadota; Gammaproteobacteria; Alteromonadales; Pseudoalteromonadaceae.